UACUUUAGAGAUUCUCAGAUCAAUUGUACAUUGCUUUGCCUGCCUUAAAGAUGCUCAUAAACUAAUGAAGAGAGGCAUUUGAUCCAUGUGUUAUCAACACAAGGUCCCACCGAUCUUCCUGGAUUGGAAGUAGCUGCCACACUGCAGGCCACUAGGUGUUGGUUGCCAGUUGGAAAAGUCAUCAAAAAGCUUUCUUGAAAUGGUGAUUAGGUUUCAUCUGAAACGGACCAUUUCAGAGGCUGGGAGCCUAAACAAGGGGGCCCCCAAGCACGUGAGCAUUGUUUGGUGUUUCCCAGAUCACACAGGUGGUAUCAAUUUAAGCCUCAGACCUACACAAGGCAGGGCUGUGGGAGGAAGUCUCCGGAGAGGCCAUUUUUUUGCUUCCUCCCGGACUGGAAACCAGGACAGUAGUUCUCUCCUCACCUCCUUCGGAAGGUAGGUGGAAAGUUUUCUGUCCCGACCUUUCACUGCGUGAGUAGUACUUGAGGGGCCUUGAGUUUGUGCGACUUCUCAAUUCUCAUGCUCCUGCUUGCAGAGGCUCCGCUGUCUCUGUCUCCUCUG
Molecule: long non-coding RNA, 561 nt
Organism: Camelus dromedarius (Arabian camel)
Lineage: Eukaryota; Metazoa; Chordata; Mammalia; Artiodactyla; Camelidae
Exons: 4
Source: RefSeq, a predicted model, not a curated record